GCAUAUAGAAGGAAAAGAAGCCGCAAUUCUUCUCCUUCUUCGGUUCCCUUCUGCAUGGUAGCUGAGCGCUGCAAUUCAGCUCCUCUACAGAUUUUUGGAUUACUUCGGCAAAUUGGACUGGGAGAACUGUUGUGUAAGUUAAAAUGGACCAGUUUGCAAAUCCUCCCUGCCUGAUAUUUGCUUUAUGUUGGUCUUGUUUCAGAUUGUGACUUGUUAGCAUUGGACACAAUAUCAGCACUCAACUAUUGAAGAUGACGAGCUCCCAGAAUACCUUGGUGAUGGAGUUAGUUAGGCAUAAAUUAGUGAUUUUGUUUAUGUAGUUUGUUAUGUUUCAAUAUAUAGUCCAUAUUGCAUCCAAAGACACAACUUGUUGGUUAGACUAAGUUUUGAAUUUCUUGUAUGCUAUUGUACCAGUUGAUUUUGAACAAUUAAAUGAAUUAUAAUUUUUUUUUUC
RNAcentral lists this long non-coding RNA (454 nucleotides) under Rosa chinensis. RNAcentral describes it as "sRNA RchiOBHm_Chr4g0426701". The record is from RNAcentral. Lineage: Eukaryota; Viridiplantae; Streptophyta; Magnoliopsida; Rosales; Rosaceae.